AGCGAACGUUUGCGGCGGGCCUAACACAUGCAAGUCGAACGCACUAGCAAUAGUGAGUGGCGCACGGGUGCGUAACACGUGGGUAAUCAACCCUUCAGCCUGGGAUAACGACUCGAAAGGGUCGCUAAUACCGGAUACGGCGCGAGAGGCUUCGGCUUCUCACGAGAAAGCCACGCAAGGGGCACUGAAGGACGAGCCUGCGGCCCAUCAGCUAGUUGGUGAGGUAAGAGCUCACCAAGGCUAAGACGGGUAGCUGGUCUGAGAGGAUGAUCAGCCACACUGGAACUGAGACACGGUCCAGACUCCUACGGGAGGCAGCAGUGGGGAAUAUUGCGCAAUGGGCGAAAGCCUGACGCAGCCACGCCGCGUGAGCGAUGAAGGCCUCGGUCGUAAAGACUCUGUGGGAGGAGACGAAGAAAGACCUGUGAAGAGCAGGCCUUGACGGUAGUCUCCUUAGCAAGCACCGGCGUAACUCCGUGCCA
RNAcentral lists this ribosomal RNA (482 nucleotides) under uncultured bacterium. RNAcentral describes it as "bacterial SSU rRNA". It matches the Rfam family "Bacterial small subunit ribosomal RNA", at positions 29 to 510 of the family's 1533-position model. The record is from RNAcentral.